This 765-nucleotide small RNA is filed under the name Pan troglodytes (chimpanzee). Its description in RNAcentral is "processed transcript". The record is from RNAcentral. Lineage: Eukaryota; Metazoa; Chordata; Mammalia; Primates; Hominidae.
GAUUGAGGCUGGGGGAGAGCGCGGAUGGCUGAUUGGGGAGCCGAAGCCUAGAGAGCGGUGGGGAGACGUGAAAGUCGAGAUGGAGAGCAGCUUUUUGAACAUGUUCUCAGGCACUUGACAGAAUCCCGCUCUUCCACCAAAGCCACCUAAGCCAAUGACUUCAGCAGUUCCAAAUGGAAUGAAGGACAGUUCUGUUUCUCUUCAGGAUGCAGAAUGGUACUGGGGGGAUAUUUCAAGGGAGGAGGUAAAUGACAAAUUGCGGGAUAUGCCAGAUGGGACCUUCUUGGUCCGAGAUGCCUCAACAAAAAUGCAGGGAGAUUAUACUUUGACUUUGCGGAAGGGAGGCAAUAAUAAGUUAAUAAAGAUCUAUCACCGGGAUGGUAAAUAUGGCUUUUCUGAUCCUCUGACAUUUAAUUCCGUGGUGGAGCUCAUUAACCACUAUCACCAUGAAUCUCUUGCUCAGUACAAUCCCAAACUUGAUGUGAAGCUGAUGUACCCAGUGUCCAGAUACCAACAGGAUCAGUUGGUAAAAGAAGAUAAUAUUGAUGCAGUAGGUAAAAAACUGCAAGAAUACCACUCUCAGUAUCAGGAGAAGAGUAAAGAGUAUGAUAGGCUGUAUGAAGAAUAUACUAGAACAUCCCAGGAAAUACAGAUGAAGAGGACUGCAAUAGAAGCUUUUAAUGAAACAAUUAAAAUAUUUGAAGAGCAGUGUCACACACAAGAACAACAUAGCAAAGAAUAUAUUGAGCGAUUUCGCAGAGAGGG